AUAAAUCCUUUGACGAGGAAUAGUAGCAAUAUUAUUAAAGUUACAGAGAGUUGAGAAUGGUGGGAUCUCAAUACUAUUGUGUGUUGUGAAUGGACCUAAGAGGAGUAAAUUGAAAUUCGCAGAGCGAAGAGUAGUGGUUAACGUAUUCCAUACGUUAUAAUGGAUAGGACAUGUUAGUGUCUGAAAAAGAGAUACUUUUUUAAAGUAUAAUUUAGGUGGUACCGCGGAUAUCUCCGUCCUAGUU
RNAcentral lists this non-coding RNA (244 nucleotides) under Clostridium autoethanogenum. Its description in RNAcentral is "T-box sequence". It matches the Rfam family "T-box leader". Rfam says of the family: Uncharged tRNA acts as the effector for transcription antitermination of genes in the T-box leader family. The record is from RNAcentral. Lineage: Bacteria; Bacillati; Bacillota; Clostridia; Eubacteriales; Clostridiaceae.